Molecule: ribosomal RNA, 253 nt
Filed under: uncultured bacterium
Lineage: Bacteria
Description: partial 16S ribosomal RNA
Rfam family: Bacterial small subunit ribosomal RNA
Source: RNAcentral
UACGAAGGGGGCUAGCGUUGUUCGGAUUUACUGGGCGUAAAGCGCACGUAGGCGGAUUGUUAAGUCAGGGGUGAAAUCCCGGAGCUCAACUCCGGAACUGCCUUUGAUACUGGCAAGCUAGAGUCCGGAAGAGGUAAGUGGAACUCCUAGUGUAGAGGUGGAAUUCGUAGAUAUUAGGAAGAACACCAGUGGCGAAGGCGGCUUACUGGUCCGGAACUGACGCUGAGGUGCGAAAGCGUGGGGAGCAAACAGG